GUAAUCUUGCAUACUAUUUUCUGCAGCAUUGAAUUGCAACUUUUAAGCUUUACAAUAUAGGUUUUUUGCUAUACAUAAUUUAAACCUCACAAGUCUUGCUGCUUCUCUACGAACAAGAAAUAAGAGAGCAAAAUGAUUAUUAUUCCCUAGUCCCUACCCUGCCUUACAAGUAACUUGUUCGUUCUUAUUAUUGUCAAACAACGAAAACCUUACAGACUAGAGGAGUUCCAGCUAGCAUCAACAGCCUUGAUAAUCUUGUCGUGUAAUUUGGCCCCAGCACAAGCAAUUAUGCCUCGAUCAAGACCUUCUAAGUACAUGCCCUUUGAGAAGUCCAAUGGACGCCCUCCAGCAUCAGUAACCACACCACCUGCCUCUUCUAUGAUGACAACACCAGCUGCAUGAUCCCAAAUCUUCUCCUUGUAGCCAGCCCUUGCAAACUUCAUAAAAACCUCUGCAUCUCCUCGAGCUAUAGCUGCAUACUUCACCAUGCUGUACACACGUAGUGGUUGCAUUCUGAGCCCUACACUGUGAGCUAGUCCUGCUGUGAAGGAAUGGCUUGAAUUUGCCUUUUCAACUGGUUCACAAAAGGUAGCCAGUGCUGGAUUGUCGAUGGAGGAUACUUGAACUGGCCUUGCGGAGUUUGGCCACACUAGCUUCUUUUGUCCCUGGAGUAGGGGUUGCAUCCAAGCCUCUCCACUUCCUUUCCUCGUAUAAAUCACACAGCCUUUGUCCCAAGAUUCAGAUGUUGGUGGGGUUAACUUAGAUAUAAUUCUAUGAUAGCGGUGGUGAUAAUUUAACCAUUCUUUCCUCAUUGGAUAGUUAGGGCAACCAAGAACCCCAAGCACGACCUCUCCAUCUUCUAUCAAUGCUAAAGCUACAGCAUAUUGAUCUCCACGCACGAAACCCAACGUACCAUCAACAGGAUCAAGGGCCCAAAAUCUUCCAGUAGGACCCCCAGUUGAGUUGCAAUGACUGAUGGCUUCAAGAACCUCUGCUGUGGUGAGAAACAUUUGUGGAGCUUUAAGACCAAAGCGGGGUGCUUCAGACAGGCAUUCAUUCACAGUUUGCACUACAGCUUCUAACAGGCCAGCCUUAUCAGCCUUGGAGAGGGUUCGAACAUCUUCCUCAGCAACUAUUGAGACAUUCCUAUUCCCUAGGGACUCAGAUAGUAUCCAGCUGACAGUGGCUUGGACGCUCCAAUCUGCUACAGUGACAAGUGAAUUAUCGUCCUUGGCUUGGACCUGACUGUUGGCUUUAGAAAUCAUACUGUCCUGCACUUUCUGGCAAAGAGAACAUGCCAUCUGCACAGCUCUGACAGCAAUAUCCAUUUCUUUGGAGUAUUUUUCAGGUUGUGGAGAUGAAAGAUCCAAGCUUUUUAGGUCCUCCAUUAUUGAAGAAGUAAAACUUUGGCUCUGGUUUAACUUGGAAAGAGAGACAAUUUGGAGAGAGCUGUUUUGGUAAGUUCUUUUGCAAGCGAAAAAGCAGAAAAAUUUCCCUACAUAGUUGGGCGUGUAAAUUCUUCCUUGUCCCAGGAUAUGUGGGACUUUAGCAGCCAGGCUCGAGCAAUUUAAAGGCAUCUCUCUGGUCUCGUGUGUUUGUAUGAUUAUGCGUGGUCUGUGACGUUGAUAAGAGGGGACUUAAACUAUAGACCAAAAGAAAAGAUAAGAAGAGACAAGUUGAAGAAAUUGACCCAUUUUAGAGCAGAUAGCUCUGGCCUCUUGCCUGGACAAUGAACACUGAAUCCUACAAUAAAUGGCAAUGAUUGGAGCUUCUUUCUCCCAUACCAAGCAGAAUUUGGUAGCACACAAGCACCCCUUU
Molecule: unclassified non-coding RNA, 1818 nt
Filed under: Hevea brasiliensis (rubber tree)
Lineage: Eukaryota; Viridiplantae; Streptophyta; Magnoliopsida; Malpighiales; Euphorbiaceae
Source: RNAcentral